AGUGAACGCUGGCGGUAGGCCUAACACAUGCAAGUCGAACGGCAGCACAGUAAGAGCUUGCUCUUACGGGUGGCGAGUGGCGGACGGGUGAGGAAUACAUCGGAAUCUACUUUUUCGUGGGGGAUAACGUAGGGAAACUUACGCUAAUACCGCAUACGACCUACGGGUGAAAGCAGGGGAUCUUCGGACCUUGCGCGAUUGAAUGAGCCGAUGUCGGAUUAGCUAGUUGGCGGGGUAAAGGCCCACCAAGGCGACGAUCCGUAGCUGGUCUGAGAGGAUGAUCAGCCACACUGGAACUGAGACACGGUCCAGACGCCUACGGGAGGCAGCAGUGGGGAAUAUUGGACAAUGGGCGCAAGCCUGAUCCAGCCAGACCGCGUGGGUGAAGAAGGCCUUCGGGUUGUAAAGCCCUUUUGUUGGGAAAGAAAAGCAGCAGGUUAAUACCCCGCUGUUCUGACGGUACCCAAAGAAUAAGCACCGGCUAACUUCGUG
This 492-nucleotide ribosomal RNA is filed under the name uncultured bacterium. RNAcentral describes it as "partial 16S ribosomal RNA". It matches the Rfam family "Bacterial small subunit ribosomal RNA", at positions 29 to 507 of the family's 1533-position model. The record is from RNAcentral.